UUCCGGUUGAUCCUGCCGGAGGCUACUGCUAUCGGGGUUCGAUUAAGCCAUGCGAGUUAAAUGUUCUUCGUGAACAUAGGGAAGUGGUCAGUAACACGUGGAUAACCUACCCUUAGGACCGGAAUAACCCCGGGAAACUGGGGAUAAUACCGGAUAAGCCAUAGACGCUGGAAUGCCCUAUGGUUCAAAGCUCCGGCGCCUAAGGAUGGAUCUGCGGUCUAUCAGGUUGUAGUGGGUGUAACGUACCUACUAGCCGACGACGGAUACGGGUUGUGAGAGCAAGAGCCCGGAGAUGGAUUCUGAGACACGAAUCCAGGCCCCUACGGGGUGCAGCAGGCGCGAACACUUUACAAUGCGGGAAACCGCGAUAAGGGAACCCCGAGUGCCAGCACCAAGUGUUGGCUGUCCGGAUGAUUAAAAAUCAUUUGUUAGCAAGGGCCGGGCAAGACCGGUGCCAGCCCGCCGCGGUAACACCGGCGGCCCGAGUGGUAGCCGUUUUUAUUGGGUCUAAAGGGUCCGUAGCCCGGCCUGAUAAGUCCUUUGGGAAAUCUGGCAGCUUAACUGUCAGGCUUCUAAGGGAUACUGUCAGGCUUGGGACCGGAAGAGGUAAGGGGUACUCCAGGGGUAGGAGUGAAAUCUUGUAAUCCCUGGGGGACCAUCUGUGGCGAAGGCCCCUUACCAGAACGGGUCCGACGGUGAGGGACGAAAGCUAGGGGAGCAAACCGGAUUAGAUACCCGGGUAGUCCUAGCUGUAAACGAUGCUCGCUAGGUGUCAGACACGGUGCGACCGUGUUUGGUGCCGCAGGGAAGCCGUUAAGCGAGCCACCUGGGAAGUACGGUCGCAAGGCUGAAACUUAAAGGAAUUGCGGGGGAGCACUACAACGGGUGGAGCCUGCGGUUUAAUUGGAUUCAACGCCGGAAAACUCACCGGGUGCGACAGCAACAUGUAGGUCAGGCUGAAGGUCUUACCUGUAAUCGCUGAGAGGAGGUGCAUGGCCGUCGUCAGUUCGUACUGUGAAGCAUCCUGUUAAGUCAGGCAACGAGCGAGACCCGCGCCCACAGUUGCCAGCAUGUUCUCAGGAACGAUGGGUACACUGUGGGGACCGCCGCUGCUAAAGCGGAGGAAGGAACGGGCUACGGUAGGUCAGUAUGCCCCGAAUCUCCCGGGCUACACGCGGGCUACAAUGGUUGGGACAAUGGGCACCUACCCUGAAAAGGGAUGGUAAUCUCCGAAACCCAACCGUAGUUUGGAUUGAGGGCUGUAACUCGCCCUCAUGAAGCUGGAA
Molecule: ribosomal RNA, 1286 nt
Filed under: uncultured archaeon
Lineage: Archaea
Description: 16S ribosomal RNA
Rfam family: Archaeal small subunit ribosomal RNA
Source: RNAcentral